This 2647-nucleotide ribosomal RNA is filed under the name Niphargus zagrebensis. Its description in RNAcentral is "eukaryotic LSU rRNA". The stretch from base 2212 to 2647 matches the Rfam family "Eukaryotic large subunit ribosomal RNA", at positions 1 to 385 of the family's 3401-position model. The record is from RNAcentral. Lineage: Eukaryota; Metazoa; Arthropoda; Malacostraca; Amphipoda; Niphargidae.
AGUAAAAGUCGUAACAAGGUUUCCGUAGGUGAACCUGCGGAAGGAUCAUUAACGAUUGCUAUAAAUGCAAAGACAAAAAGCUCACUGGAUUGAACGCUAAAACUCCUGACGAGUUCAGGAAGGAUGCUGCCUUUCACGGCCAUCGUGGUCGUUGCGCUCUGCGCUGCGAACGAUGUAAAACAAACAACCGAUGGCCUCUCAUACAGUAUAAUAUCUCUCGCCAUGGCAUACAGGCCUGGCAUCUGGUACGAGUCUCUCGCAGUCUCAAAACCAACCUUACAACUCUGAGCGGUGGAUCACUUGGCUUGUGGAUGCUAUGAAGACCAUAGCUAAGUGUGAGAAUGGCAGCGAGCCGUCGCUAUAUGCGCUGUCCUCUUCUUAUCACAUGUCGAAUGCACAUUGCGCCCCACCCAGCGGUCGGCUAAACAACCUGCAGACAAAAGCCUGUGAGUUGGAACAAAGGCUAAUGUGUGGCCCUCGAGCAACGGCGGGGGAGCCAGGAGCACAUGAGCGUGCGGACCAACUACUCGUGAGUAGUCAGGCUUGACCCUAUGGUGGGGCACUCCUAGUCGAGUGUGGUGGAUCGGACUCACAUCUCUUGUUGCGCGUUCGCGCGUGAUGGAGUUUGAGUUUCUUUGUUGCUGGUGGCAUUUGGGUCGACAUCAGUCGUGCCCGUAAACAACUGCCUUGGCUCGUGCCUCUGUGCGUAUACCUCUCGAAGGAGCGUACAUUGAAGGCCAUAGCUGGCGAUCACUCUUGCGGCCAGGGCACUACUUCGGUAGUGCGCACAGGUCCAAAAGGAACUGAUAAUACGAGAAUCGGGUCUCUAUACUAUACCCGGCUUCUGAGACACAAUUGUGGAGUGAUGAUCACAUGGUUUUCGAGGGUACUGCUAUUCCGCUAAUGGCUGGUAAGGCUGGCGUCCGAGCCUCAUCUCUUUUGAACAGCACACACACAUACUAGACUGCAACACCUGACGAGAUCAGGAUGGUCUGGGAGUGAGUGUGUCAAAAGUAACAAUUAUGCGGGCAGCCUCGCGUCACAUGUCUGUAUCGGGUGUGAUGAUCAUGUUGGUUAUUGAGGGCACUGUGUUAACCGUUACUCUGGCAAGGGUUGUGUUUCUCGUAGUAUUCGGGAAUGACACUAUCUUUUCCACUUUUGCAAGACGCACAAGGACAAGGAAUGAGGACUGAAAGCCUGACGAGAUCAGGUAAUACAGUGCGGCAAAAGUAACAGAGUGGCCGGCAGCCUCGCAUCGCUCCACUUGUUGUACUUCUGUGUGACGUGGUGAUCACAUGAUUUUCUAGACGAACGCAAAAUGCGGUAUCUGGCAGGGUGUAGUCCCAAACCUAAAGUCUUUUGCAUGCACACACACACACACGCGUACCAGACAGUGCCUCCCCUGACGAGAUCAGGAAGGAUGGUCUGAGAGAGUGUGUGUGUGGCUCAGAAGUAACAGAUAUCAGCAGCGAGCCUAGCAUCACAUGUCCGUAUCGGGUGUGGUGAUCAUGUUGGUUAUCGAGAUAGUGCAUUAACCGUUGCUCCCGGUAAUGGCUCUUGUCUCUCGUAGUAAUCGAGAUUAAGACUCGAGCCUUACCACUUUUGCAAGAACGCACAGGACUGAACGCCUGACGAGAUCAGGUAAGUGCGCCUAAAGUAACAGGAGCGGCCGGCAUCUCGCAUCACUGAACACGUUGUACUUUCGUGUCACUCCGCUUGUUCUACUUCUGUGUGACGUGGUGAUCACAUGAUUUACUAGAUGAACGCAAUUGCCGUAUCUGGCAGGGUGUAGUCCACAAACCCAAUGUCUUUUGCAUGCUCACACACACGCGUACCAGACAGGGCCUCCCCUGACGAGAUCAGGAAGGAUGGUCUGAGAGAGUGUGUGUGGCUCAGAAGUAACAGAUACGCCGCGAGCCUAGCAUCACAUGUCCGUAUCGGGUGUGGUGAUCAUGUUGGUUAUUGAGGCAUUGCAUUAACCGUUGCUCCCGGUAAUGGCUCUUGUUUCUCGUAGUAAACGAGAUUAAGACUCGAGCCUUACCACUUUUGCAAGAACGCACAGGACUGAACGCCUGACGAGAUCAGGUAAGUGCGCCUAAGUAACAGGAGCGGCCGGCAACUCGCAUCACUGAACACGUUGUACUUACAUGUGGAAGAGAUGAAGACGGGCGAAGGAAAGAGACCUGGUUUCUUGUAUGUUUGCAUUUGCCACCACCUCGACUUAGGAGAGGUUACCCGCUGAACUUAAGCAUAUCAGUAAGCGGAGGAAAAGAAACCAAUCAGGGAUUCCCUUAGUAGGGGCGACCGAACAGGGAUGAGCCCAGCGCAGAACCUCCCGGGCCACCCGGCCUGCGGCGGAAUGUUGCGUUAAGGGAAAGGUCGUAGUCAAACCCCACAGCCACGCGAGCUCUAAGUAAGUCACGAAUUGGCUAUCCCAACUAACGGCGGGAAAAUCUCCACGGAGGGUGUAAGACCCGUGUGGGCGCGUGUAAAUGCUGUGUGGGCUCGGCCUCUUUUCCCUGAGAGUCGCGUUGCUUGAGCAUGCAGCGCUAAGCAGGUCGUAAACUCGAUCUAAGGCUAAAUAUGUCCACAAGACCGAUAGCGAACAAGUACCGUGAGGGAAAGUUGAAAAGCACUCUGAAGAGAG